RNAcentral lists this ribosomal RNA (491 nucleotides) under uncultured bacterium. Its description in RNAcentral is "partial 16S ribosomal RNA". It matches the Rfam family "Bacterial small subunit ribosomal RNA", at positions 29 to 507 of the family's 1533-position model. The record is from RNAcentral.
AGUGAACGCUGGCGGUAGGCCUAACACAUGCAAGUCGAACGGCAGCACAGUAGAGGUUGCCCUUACGGGGGGGGAGUGGGCGACCGGUGGGGAAAUAAUUGGAAUCCUACUUUUUGUGGGGGGAAAAGGAGGGGAAACUACGCCUAUACCCCAAUCGAACUACGGGUGAAAGCCGGGGGUUCUUGGACCUUGGGGGGAUGAAUGGAGCGAUGUCGGAUUAGCUAGUUGGCGGGGUAAAGGCCCACCAAGGCGACGAUCCGUAGCUGGUCUGAGAGGAUGAUCAGCCACACUGGAACUGAGACACGGUCCAGACUCCUACGGGAGGCAGCAGUGGGGAAUAUUGGACAAUGGGCGCAAGCCUGAUCCAGCCAUACUGCGUGGGUGAAGAAGGCCUUCGGGUUGUAAAGCCCUUUUGUUGGGAAAGAAAAGCAGCAGGUUAAUACCCCGCUGUUCUGACGGUACCCAAAGAAUAAGCACCGGCUAACUUCGUG